GAACUUAACUUAAGUUAUACUGGGGUAGUAAAUAAAUUAUAAUUUUUAUUUAAAAUAAAAUUAAAAUAUCCUAUAAUAUAGAUAAUUAAGUUACCUUAGGGAUAACAGCGCAAUUAUAUUUUAAAGUUCUUAUUUAAAAAAUAGAUUACGACCUCGAUGUUGAAUUAAUAACCUAAAUAUAGAAAAUUAUAUAUAAGGAAGUCUGUUCGACUUUUAAACAAUUACAUGAUUUGAGUUCAGACCGGUAUAAGCCAGGUCGGUUUCUAUCUUCUAAUUUAAAGUUUUACAGUACGAAAGGACCUACAUAUCUUAAUAUUUUAUUAAAUUAAUUGGCAGACAAAUGCAUUAGAAUUAGAAUCUAAUAACACUAAA
Molecule: ribosomal RNA, 372 nt
Filed under: Parabathippus cuspidatus
Lineage: Eukaryota; Metazoa; Arthropoda; Arachnida; Araneae; Salticidae
Description: partial 16S ribosomal RNA
Rfam family: Bacterial large subunit ribosomal RNA (bases 101-258)
Source: RNAcentral